CAUGGGGCUACCCGCGCUCCGUCCGCCCUACGCUCACGUCUCUGCACACACCCCUCUCUCACCCACGCCCUCUCGCCAUCUCUGUGUUUGAUAGCUGUUUCCUUUGGCGUUCUCUGCUUCGCCAUCUCGUUGCCCACCUUACGCACCCCUAACCCAUACAAGCAUGUGCGGCGGACAAGGGUGACUGCCAGCAGCAUCCACACCCACGCAUCGCGGGCCAAAGCGCUGAACGACCAACAGGUGCCGCCUUGAGACCGCUGCGAACGAAACAAAAAAAGGGAGAAAUGGGGAAGCCAUGCGUGCCACCUUUCUCUGGUUACGCACUUCGCGCAAAGGACCGGGUAGCUGGUCAGAGCCGGUUCUGCUCUACUCCCAACAUCGCAUGCGCAAUGUCGGCCACGGGCCUGGCAUGGUUGGCAGCAGCCCCACCGCCCCCAGUGGGUCGCCGGCUUUUCGGCAAAGUGGCAGCGGCAUCCGGGCAGCGCAGCUGGGUACACCCCCCAUCGGAGCCUCCUCGGUCUUCUACGACGGCGCCGACAACGCUACGCAGCAUGCUCCCUACGGCCCGGGCGCGCUGAGCGGGGGCUGGGGCGACGAUGCUCCGGACCCUUCUCUGUACAGCUGGAAGGCUGACCCGUCGCGCAAUCGCCCGCCGCCAUACAUGCAGCCGUCGCUGUCGGGAUUGCGUGGCAAUGGGGAGAGUAGCCUGCCCCAGAAUGCAAAGCGCGUAGAGACGGCCUCGCGGCCUAUCGAAGAGUCGGGUGGGAGGAGCAGUGCCAGCGGCGACUCCAAGGGCGGCACCACAAAUACGAACUGGCUCGGCGGUCCGGCAGGUGGCGCCAUCCCCGACACGCUCGAGCGCGCCACGUUGCAGCACGCCUUCGGCACAGGCGACUUCUCCAUGGUAGAUCGACAGCAGCUGACUCUCACGCGGUUGAUGCAGCUCAUGCUGGACGCCACGCUGAAGCCGCGCGACCCCGACAGCCGAGGGUUCGGUGGUGACGGCGCCACAAAACUCGCGGAGCAGCGCGAGGAGCUCAAGCUGAUGGACCAGCGCGUCGUACCGUUCCAGCACGACGACGUGAUGAACGACUACCUGAAGAACAUCGACAGGCUACACAGCCCAAGCGGAGCGCUGUGCCAGCGCGACGUGCUCAAGGGCCGCCUGGUUGGGCUACUCUUCUUCACAGAGUCGGAGCGCUCCCUCACCUUCAUGCGAUAUCUGCAGCGUUUUCACAAGCGGCACAGCCCUGACUUCGUCGUCGUCGCCGUGUCGCUCGCCGCGAAGGAGAUGAUGGACAUUACGCGCUCCUUUGGCUUCUUUCACUGCACGCACCGCGACGGGGCGUCGUGGGUGUCGCGCGAUGCUGGGCUGAUGCUGCGCCCUUUCGUUGCACUGCCCCGCCUAAUUGUGGUGAACGGCACAAGCGGAAUCGAGGUCACCCGUGGCGGGGUAACGGCCGUCAUGGCGAACCCGGACACGUGCUUCCAGGCGUGGCGGCGCGGCGAGGGUGGGUACCGGUACCGCGACUGGCUCAAAUCCAUGUACAUGUGAAGGGACGGCGUGAGGUCGGUCGGAGGUUGAAGGCUGCGAAAGGCGGAGGGAGGUUCGGAAAGCUGGUGAGACCGCUAAGACGUACACACCCGGCAGGAGGAGGGGCCGGCAUGAUGCAGUCCCGAUCUUUUUCCUUUGCUAUCGUAGGCGUAUUGUGUCUCCGCUUCUCAUCGUUGUUCCCCCUCCAUCCAUUGUGCGCGUGCUCUCUCGCCGUCUACUUGUGUGAGCUUCCUUGGCAGCUUCCUCGCCCGUUUCCCGUCCAACAGCAACGCCCCCACGCGUACGCACAUAUACGAGUAAUCGACGGCCCAUCACCGACUCUCGUUCUCCGGCAUGGUUUCGUUCUUUGUGUGUGUGUGUGUGUGAACUGGCGCCGGACCCCUCCCCCCCCCCCCCCCCCCGUGUUCCCCUUUCCCCCAAUUCUCCGUGACGAGAGAGC
Molecule: unclassified non-coding RNA, 1994 nt
Filed under: Leishmania donovani
Lineage: Eukaryota; Euglenozoa; Kinetoplastea; Trypanosomatida; Trypanosomatidae
Description: gene:LdHU3.20.1690(CDS-product:hypothetical_prote in_conserved)
Source: RNAcentral